Long non-coding RNA from Carassius gibelio (silver crucian carp), 901 nucleotides. RefSeq lists it as uncharacterized. The record is from RefSeq and is a predicted model, not a curated record. The transcript has 4 exons. NCBI's taxonomy places the organism in Eukaryota, Metazoa, Chordata, Actinopteri, Cypriniformes, Cyprinidae.
UCAGAGCUCUCUGAUCUACGUGGUCUCAUUCGGUGGAUUCAGACAGCGCAUUUUCUACAUUGACCGACGAUAAAUAAAGUUAUAAGGUGCUUCUUGGGCAUCAACCCAGAGACGGGCACAAAAUCUAAGAGGCAGAGAGGUCACAUGAACCAGCAAGUCUGCACUCUUAGCAGGAAGCUCAUUGACUUCGAAUGGAUGUCAAUCUAAUUGGAUAGAACCCACACUAUGCAGGUGCCAGCUGCGAGGGAAGGAGAGAGACACCUGCGACCCUCUCUAUUCCCACCUUUUUGUCUUUUCUUACAUCUCUCUCUCUCACUCUUUCUUCUCUGUCUCCUUCUUUCUCUUUUGACACACAUUCCUGUUACCCAGUGUCAAUCCCUGUUGCCCAGUGUUUUAUUCAUGUAAUUAAAUUGUAUUUUACUUCUAAAAAAUAAAAGUUAUGUCACUGUUUUUAUCAGUUUUGUUUGGUCCAUCAUUUAUGCUAAAUCACAGUAAUAGAUAGACAUUCACAGUUAUGUACAGUAAUUCUACAGCUGCUUACUGCUAAAUUACAGUAAUAGACUAAUUUCACAGUUAAAUACAUUAAUUCUACAUCUGCUUGCUGCUAAAUUGCAAUGAUAGACACUAAUUUCACAGUUAAAUACAUUAAUUCUACAGCUGCUUACUGUUAAAUUACAGUAAUACAUAGACACCAACUGUAAUUUCACAGUUAAAUACAUUAAUUCUACAGCAGCUUACCGCUAAAUCACAGUAAUGCGAUGUCAGAAUUACUGUGAAGUCACAGUAUACAGCUGUCAUUUCACAAUAAUUUACUGUAAAAAUGUUACAGUAACUUACUGUGAAAGUCAUGCAAUUAUUAACCUGCAAUUUAUUGUAAAUUUACAGUCAAAUAAUUAACAGU